AAUACGUUCCCGGGUCUUGUACACACCGCCCGUCACACCACGAAAGUUGGUAACACCCGAAAGCCGGUGGCCUAACCUUUUGGAGGGAGCCGUCGAAGGUGGGACCAAUGAUUGGGGUG
RNAcentral lists this ribosomal RNA (119 nucleotides) under uncultured bacterium. RNAcentral's name for it is "partial 16S ribosomal RNA". It matches the Rfam family "Bacterial small subunit ribosomal RNA", at positions 1365 to 1482 of the family's 1533-position model. The record is from RNAcentral.